GACGAACGCUGGCGGCGUGCUUAACACGUGCAAGUCGAACGGUAAGGCCCUUCGGGGUACACGAGUGGCGAACGGGUGAGUAACACGUGGGUGAUCUGCCCUGCACUUCGGGAUAAGCCUGGGAAACUGGGUCUAAUACCGGAUAGGACCACUGCCUGCAUGGGUGGUGGUGGAAAGCUUUUGCGGUGUGGGAUGGGCCCGCGGCCUAUCAGCUUGUUGGUGGGGUGAUGGCCUACCAAGGCGACGACGGGUAGCCGGCCUGAGAGGGUGACCGGCCACACUGGGACGGAGAUACGGCCCAGACUCCUACGGGGGGCAGCAGUGGGGAAUAUUGCACAAUGGGCGCAAGCCUGAUGCAGCGACGCCGCGUGAGGGAUGAGGGCCUUCGGGUUGUAAACCUCUUUCAGCUAUGACGAAGCGCAAGUGACGGUAGUAGCAGAAGAAGGACCGGCCAACUACGUGCCAGCAGCCGCCGUAA
Molecule: ribosomal RNA, 478 nt
Filed under: uncultured bacterium
Lineage: Bacteria
Description: partial 16S ribosomal RNA
Rfam family: Bacterial small subunit ribosomal RNA
Source: RNAcentral